GAUGAACGCUAGCGACAGGCUUAACACAUGCAAGUCGAGGGGCAGCAUAAAAGUAGCAAUACUUUGGUGGCGACCGGCGCACGGGUGAGUAACGCGUAUGCAACCUACCUAUCAGAGGGGGAUAACCCGGCGAAAGUCGGACUAAUACCGCAUAAAACAGGGGCACCGCAUGGUGAUAUUUGUUAAAAAUUUAUUGCUGAUAGAUGGGCAUGCGUUCCAUUAGGUAGUUGGAGAGGUAACGGCUCACCAAGCCCACGAUGGAUAGGGGAACUGAGAGGUUGGUCCCCCAACUGGUACUGAGACACGGACCAGACUCCUACGGGAGGCAGCAGUGAGGAAUAUUGGUCAAUGGGCGAGAGCCCUGAACCAGCCAAGUCGCGUGAAGGAAGAAGGAUCUAUGGUUCGUAAACUUCUUUUGCAGGGGAAUAAAGUGCAGGACGUGUCCUGUUUUGUAUGUACCCUGAGAAUAAGGAUCGGCUAACUCCGUGCCAGCAGCCGCGGUAAA
Molecule: ribosomal RNA, 505 nt
Filed under: uncultured bacterium
Lineage: Bacteria
Description: bacterial SSU rRNA
Rfam family: Bacterial small subunit ribosomal RNA
Source: RNAcentral